This 1442-nucleotide ribosomal RNA is filed under the name metagenome. RNAcentral describes it as "bacterial SSU rRNA". It matches the Rfam family "Bacterial small subunit ribosomal RNA". The record is from RNAcentral.
AGAGUUUGAUCCUGGCUCAGGAUGAACGCUGGCGGCGUGCUUAACACAUGCAAGUCGAACGGUCCUUCGGGACAGUGGCGGACGGGUGAGUAACGCGUGGGAAUCUGCCCUUAGGAGGGGGAUAACGGUUGGAAACGACCGCUAAUACCCCAUAUGCCGAGAGGUGAAAUGAAAUUCGCCUGAGGAUGAGCCCGCGUCUGAUUAGCUAGUUGGUGGGGUAAAGGCCUACCAAGGCGACGAUCAGUAGCUGGUCUGAGAGGAUGAUCAGCCACACUGGGACUGAGACACGGCCCAGACUCCUACGGGAGGCAGCAGUGGGGAAUUUUCCGCAAUGGGCGAAAGCCUGACGGAGCAACGCCGCGUGAGGGAUGAAGGCCUCUGGGCUGUAAACCUCUUUUCUCAAGGAAGAAGAUCUGACGGUACUUGAGGAAUAAGCCACGGCUAAUUCCGUGCCAGCAGCCGCGGUAAUACGGGAGUGGCAAGCGUUAUCCGGAAUUAUUGGGCGUAAAGCGUCCGCAGGCGGCCUUGUAAGUCUGUUGUUAAAGCGUGGAGCUUAACUCCAUUUCAGCAAUGGAAACUACAAGGCUUGAGUGUGGUAGGGGCAGAGGGAAUUCCCGGUGUAGCGGUGAAAUGCGUAGAUAUCGGGAAGAACACCAGUGGCGAAGGCGCUCUGCUGGGCCAUAACUGACGCUCAUGGACGAAAGCCAGGGGAGCGAAAGGGAUUAGAUACCCCUGUAGUCCUGGCCGUAAACGAUGAACACUAGGUGUCGGGGGAAUCGACCCCCUCGGUGUCGUAGCCAACGCGUUAAGUGUUCCGCCUGGGGAGUACGCACGCAAGUGUGAAACUCAAAGGAAUUGACGGGGGCCCGCACAAGCGGUGGAGUAUGUGGUUUAAUUCGAUGCAACGCGAAGAACCUUACCAGGGUUUGACAUCCUGCGAACCCCUGGGAAAUCGGGGGGUGCCUUCGGGAACGCAGUGACAGGUGGUGCAUGGCUGUCGUCAGCUCGUGUCGUGAGAUGUUGGUUAAGUCCCGCAACGAGCGCAACCCACGUCUUUAGUUGCCAGCAUUCAGUUGGGCACUCUAGAGAGACCGCCGGUGAUAAACCGGAGGAAGGUGUGGAUGACGUCAAGUCAUCAUGCCCCUUACAUCCUGGGCUACACACGUACUACAAUGCUACGGACAAAGGGCAGCAAGCUCGCGAGAGUUAGCAAAUCCCAUAAACCGUGGCUCAGUUCAGAUCGUAGGCUGCAACUCGCCUACGUGAAGGAGGAAUCGCUAGUAAUCGCAGGUCAGCAUACUGCGGUGAAUACGUUCCCGGGCCUUGUACACACCGCCCGUCACACCAUGGAAGUUGGCCAUGCCCGAAGUCGUUACUCCAACCCUUGUGGAGGAGGACGCCGAAGGUGGGGCUGAUGACUGGGGUGAAGUCGUAACAAGGUA